RNAcentral lists this ribosomal RNA (253 nucleotides) under uncultured bacterium. RNAcentral's name for it is "partial 16S ribosomal RNA". It matches the Rfam family "Bacterial small subunit ribosomal RNA", at positions 524 to 776 of the family's 1533-position model. The record is from RNAcentral.
UACAGGGGGAGCGAACGUUACUCGGAAUCACUGGGCAUAAAGGGCGCGUAGGCGGUCCUGUAAGUCGGAUGUGAAAGACCUUGGCUCAACCAAGGAAUGGCAUCCGAUACUGCGGGGCUUGAGGCCGAGAGGGGCAAGCGGAACUCCUGGUGGAGCGGUGAAAUGCGUAGAUAUCAGGAGGAACACCGGUGGCGAAGGCGGCUUGCUGGAUCGGUUCUGACGCUGAGGCGCGAAAGCCAGGGGAGCAAACGGG